Non-coding RNA from Drosophila melanogaster (fruit fly), 101 nucleotides. The record is from Ensembl. Lineage: Eukaryota; Metazoa; Arthropoda; Insecta; Diptera; Drosophilidae.
UUGGGGGCGCUGCACUGGCAUUGAAAAGUGAAUUACAUUGAUCGUGACAUGGGAAUGGAAAAUGUCGCCGAGCCAUGUAAAUCGUUUGGCCUACCCGUCUA